GACGAACGCUGGCGGCGUGCUUAACACAUGCAAGUCGAACGGAAAGGCCCUGCUUGCAGGGUACUCGAGUGGCGAACGGGUGAGUAACACGUGGGUGAUCUGCCCUGCACUUCGGGAUAAGCCUGGGAAACUGGGUCUAAUACCGGAUAGGAGCCAUUUUUAGUGUGAUGGUUGGAAAGUUUUUUCGGUGUAGGUUGAGCUCGCGGCCUAUCAGCUUGUUGGUGGGGUAAUGGCCUACCAAGGCGGCGACGGGUAGCCGGCCUGGGAGGGUGGACGGCCACAUUGGGACUGAGAUACGGCCCAGACUCCUACGGGAGGCAGCAGUGGGGAAUAUUGCACAAUGGGCGCAAGCCUGAUGCAGCGACGCCGCGUGGGGGAUGACGGCCUUCGGGUUGGAAACUCCUUUCGCUAGGGACGAAGCUUUUUGUGACGGUACCUAGAGAAGAAGCACCGGCUAACUACGUG
Molecule: ribosomal RNA, 465 nt
Filed under: uncultured bacterium
Lineage: Bacteria
Description: partial 16S ribosomal RNA
Rfam family: Bacterial small subunit ribosomal RNA
Source: RNAcentral